CCUGCCUCAAGGCUGGGAUACAUUUGAAACAGAUGCUAAUACCGAAUAAAACUUAGUAUCGCAUGAUACAAAGUUGAAAAGGCGCCACGGCGUCACCUAGAGAUGGGUCCGCGGUGCAUUAGUUAGUUGUGGGGUAAAGGCCUACCAAGACAAUGAUGCAUAGCCGAGUUGAGAGACUGAUCGGCCACAUUGGGACUGAGACACGGCCCAAACUCCUACGGGAGGCUGCAGUAGGGAAUCUUCCACAAUGGGCGAAAGCCUGAUGGAGCAACGCCGCGUGUGUGAUGAAGGCUUUAGGGUCGUAAAGCACUGUUGUAUGGGAAGAAAUGCUAGAAUAGGGAAUGAUUCUAGUUCGACGGUACCAUACCAGAAAGGGACGGCUAAAUACGUG
This 391-nucleotide ribosomal RNA is filed under the name uncultured bacterium. RNAcentral's name for it is "bacterial SSU rRNA". It matches the Rfam family "Bacterial small subunit ribosomal RNA", at positions 125 to 507 of the family's 1533-position model. The record is from RNAcentral.